AACGAACGCUGGCGGCAGGCCUAACACAUGCAAGUCGAGCGAGAUCUUCGGGUCUAGCGGCGGACGGGUGAGUAACGCGUGGGAAUAUGCCUCUUGGUACGGAAUAGCCUCGGGAAACUGGGAGUAAUACCGUAUGUGCCCUUUGGGGGAAAGAUUUAUCGCCAAGAGAUUAGCCCGCGUUGGAUUAGGUAGUUGGUGGGGUAAUGGCCUACCAAGCCGACGAUCCAUAGCUGGUUUGAGAGGAUGAUCAGCCACACUGGGACUGAGACACGGCCCAGACUCCUACGGGAGGCAGCAGUGGGGAAUCUUAGACAAGGGGGGCAACCCUGAUCUAGCCAUGCCGCGUGAGUGAUGAAGGCCUUAGGGUUGUAAAGCUCUUUCAGCUGGGAAGAUAAUGACGGUACCAGCAGAAGAAGCCCCGGCUAACUCCGUG
RNAcentral lists this ribosomal RNA (433 nucleotides) under uncultured bacterium. RNAcentral's name for it is "partial 16S ribosomal RNA". It matches the Rfam family "Bacterial small subunit ribosomal RNA", at positions 29 to 507 of the family's 1533-position model. The record is from RNAcentral.